AGAACGAACGCUGGCGGCAUGCCUAACACAUGCAAGUCGAACGCUUCCGGGGCUUCGGUCGCGGAGGAGUGGCGCACGGGUGAGUAGCGCGUGGGAACCUGCCCUGUUGUGGGGGAUAACCGAGGGAAACUUCGGCUAAUACCGCAUACGCCCCGGGACUUGGUCUUCGGAUUAGGUCUGGGGGGAAAGAUUGAUCGCAGCAGGAGGGGCCCGCGUCGGAUUAGCUGGUUGGUGGGGUAACGGCUCACCAAGGCGAUGAUCCGUAGCUGGUCUGAGAGGAUGAUCAGCCACACUGGGACUGAGACACGGCCCAGACUCCUACGGGAGGCAGCAGUGGGGAAUAUUGGACAAUGGGGGCAACCCUGAUCCAGCAAUGCCGCGUGAGUGAUGAAGGCCUUAGGGUUGUAAAGCUCUUUCGCCCGCGACGAUGAUGACGGUAGCGGGAGAAGAGCCCGGCUAACUUCGCGCCAGCACGGCCGCGGU
RNAcentral lists this ribosomal RNA (483 nucleotides) under uncultured bacterium. RNAcentral describes it as "SSU rRNA". It matches the Rfam family "Bacterial small subunit ribosomal RNA", at positions 26 to 521 of the family's 1533-position model. The record is from RNAcentral.